ACGAAGUCUUCGGACUGAGUGGCGGACGGGUGAGUAACACGUGAGAACCUGCCUUAAGGUCGGGGAUAACAGUUGGAAACGACUGCUAAUACCGGAUGUGCCUACGGGUGAAAGAUUUAUUGCCUAAAGAUGGGCUCGCGUCUGAUUAGCUAGUUGGAGUGGUAAUGGCACACCAAGGCGACGAUCAGUAGCUGGUCUGAGAGGAUGAUCAGCCACACUGGGACUGAGACACGGCCCAGACUCCUACGGGAGGCAGCAGUGGGGAAUUUUCCGCAAUGGGCGAAAGCCUGACGGAGCAAGACCGCGUGAGGGAGGAAGGCUCUUGGGUUGUAAACCUCUUUUGUCAGGGAAGAACACAAUGACGGUACCUGACGAAUCAGCAUCGGCUAACUCCGUGCCAGCAGCCGCGGUAAUACGGAGGAUGCAAGCGUUAUCCGGAAUUAUUGGGCGUAAAGCGUCCGCAGGUGGUUGUACAAGUCUGCUGUCAAAGCGCGGAGCUUAACUCCGUAAAGGCGGUGGAAACUGUGCGACUAGAGUUCGGUAGGGGUCGCGGGAAUUCCCAGUGUAGCGGUGAAAUGCGUAGAUAUUGGGAAGAACACCGGUGGCGAAAGCGCGCGACUGG
This 622-nucleotide ribosomal RNA is filed under the name uncultured cyanobacterium. RNAcentral's name for it is "bacterial SSU rRNA". It matches the Rfam family "Bacterial small subunit ribosomal RNA", at positions 66 to 732 of the family's 1533-position model. Lineage: Bacteria; Bacillati; Cyanobacteriota. The record is from RNAcentral.